GUUGGCCUAGUGGUUAGAGCGUCCGCCUCUGAUACGGGAGGUCGAAGGUUUGAAUCCUGGCCAAGUCA
Non-coding RNA from Potamilus streckersoni, 68 nucleotides. NCBI's taxonomy places the organism in Eukaryota, Metazoa, Mollusca, Bivalvia, Unionida, Unionidae. The record is from the annotation of a GenBank genome assembly.